This 472-nucleotide ribosomal RNA is filed under the name uncultured bacterium. RNAcentral's name for it is "partial 16S ribosomal RNA". It matches the Rfam family "Bacterial small subunit ribosomal RNA", at positions 28 to 507 of the family's 1533-position model. The record is from RNAcentral.
GACGAACGCUGGCGGCGUGCUUAACACAUGCAAGUCGAACGCUGAAGCUUGGUGCUUGCACUGGGUGGAUGAGUGGCGAACGGGUGAGUAAUACGUGAGUAACCUGCCCUUGACUCUGGGAUAAGCCUGGGAAACUGGGUCUAAUACUGGAUACGACAUGUCACCGCAUGGUGGUGUGUGGAAAGGGUUUUACUGGUUUUGGAUGGGCUCACGGCCUAUCAGCUUGUUGGUGGGGUAAUGGCUCACCAAGGCGAAGACGGGUAGCCGGCCUGAGAGGGUGACCGGCCACACUGGGACUGAGACACGGCCCAGACUCCUACGGGAGGCAGCAGUGGGGAAUAUUGCACAAUGGGCGGAAGCCUGAUGCAGCGACGCCGCGUGAGGGAUGACGGCCUUCGGGUUGUAAACCUCUUUCAGCACGGAAGAAGCGAAAGUGACGGUACGUGCAGAAGAAGCGCCGGCUAACUACGUG